Molecule: ribosomal RNA, 492 nt
Filed under: uncultured bacterium
Lineage: Bacteria
Description: partial 16S ribosomal RNA
Rfam family: Bacterial small subunit ribosomal RNA
Source: RNAcentral
AGUGAACGCUGGCGGUAGGCCUAACACAUGCAAGUCGAACGGCAGCACAGUAAGAGCUUGCUCUUACGGGUGGCGGGUGGCGGACGGGUGAGGAAUACAUCGGAAUCUACUUUUUCGUGGGGGAUAACGUAGGGAAACUUACGCUAAUACCGCAUACGACCUACGGGUGAAAGCAGGGGAUCUUCGGACCUUGCGCGAUUGAAUGAGCCGAUGUCGGAUUAGCUAGUUGGCGGGGUAAAGGCCCACCAAGGCGACGAUCCGUAGCUGGUCUGAGAGGAUGAUCAGCCACACUGGAACUGAGACACGGUCCAGACUCCUACGGGAGGCAGCAGUGGGGAAUAUUGGACAAUGGGCGCAAGCCUGAUCCAGCCACACCGCGUGGGUGAAGAAGGCCUUCGGGUUGUAAAGCCCUUUUGUUGGGAAAGAAAAGCAGCAGGUUAAUACCCCGCUGUUCUGACGGUACCCAAAGAAUAAGCACCGGCUAACUUCGUG